This 75-nucleotide transfer RNA is filed under the name Candidatus Zixiibacteriota bacterium. RNAcentral's name for it is "tRNA-Arg". It matches the Rfam family "tRNA". Rfam says of the family: Transfer RNA (tRNA) molecules are approximately 80 nucleotides in length. Lineage: Bacteria; Pseudomonadati; Candidatus Zixiibacteriota. The record is from RNAcentral.
GCCCCCGUUGCGUAAUGGAUAGCGCAACAGCCUCCGGAGCUGUUGGUCCAGGUUCAAUUCCUGGCGGGGGUACCA